ACGCGUCGGCGAAUGGCUGGACCGACUACACGGCCUGCUACCAUCCCGACGUCCUUCACGUCGUCGACAGUCUGUACGGGCAAGAAGACGCUCAGAAGCGGCUAGACAUCGCCAGCAACACGCGCGCCAUAGAGAUGUUUGGCCUCACACUGUCCUUCACAAGCCUCGUCAUAUCGCUCUGCAUCUUCUGCUAUUUCAGAUCUCUGAAGUGCAGCCGUACGGUGAUUCACAGACACAUGUUCACCGCCAUGCUCAUACAGGUUACGCUGCGCCUCAUUA
This is a long non-coding RNA of Priapulus caudatus, 279 nucleotides long. RefSeq lists it as uncharacterized. The record is from RefSeq and is a predicted model, not a curated record. The transcript has 3 exons. NCBI's taxonomy places the organism in Eukaryota, Metazoa, Priapulida, Priapulimorpha, Priapulimorphida, Priapulidae.